RNAcentral lists this unclassified non-coding RNA (292 nucleotides) under Hevea brasiliensis (rubber tree). Lineage: Eukaryota; Viridiplantae; Streptophyta; Magnoliopsida; Malpighiales; Euphorbiaceae. The record is from RNAcentral.
GUGAAACAGCUCGGAGAAGAAGAAGAUGAAGAUGACAUGGAAGAAUCAGAGCAAGAAGAACCCUAACAAAAGACCUAUUUCCCAACUCCAAAACCUCCCAUUCGAUCCUACUGAAGAUUCCACUUUUCCCGAGGAAAAACUUGCUAAAACUGAAGAGAUUUCUCAUGUUAAUGGAGAUGAAGAUACAAUCAAACUUGUUGAGUCCUUUCAACAACAAGGAAAUAAGCUUGCUGAGGAAGGGAAAUAUCGUGAAGCACUUGGAAAGUGGGAGUCUGCUCUACUUUUGAUGCCA